This 425-nucleotide long non-coding RNA is filed under the name Cricetulus griseus (Chinese hamster). RNAcentral's name for it is "lncRNA (ENSCGRG00015033669.1)". The record is from RNAcentral. Lineage: Eukaryota; Metazoa; Chordata; Mammalia; Rodentia; Cricetidae.
CCUCAUCAAGAAAACUUCUCCUUGCAACAGAGACCAUUAUAGAAAAUGCAGAGUUGUAGAGCCCAGUUCUAUCUCUAAAGCACAGUUCCUGCUCCUAAGGCUCUGGGAUCAUUUUGGAAGAGAGAGUAGAAGGAUUGCCCUGAAUAAAACAUAAACACCAGGGAACACGUUGAUGCAACUGAGAAGUAUAAAAGUUGGAAGUCAGAAGAGUCAGUGAGAGUCCCUCUCAGACAAGCCAAGGUGAAAAGACCACUCAAGACCAGACAAGCUGCCUGGAAGAUGUUUAGACCUACUGAGGCAUAUGGAAAGGAUACUCUGCAACUUGUUGAUCUGAUUACAGGCUGUGCAGUGUGCUCCAGGCUCCCUGCUUUUGUGAGCUGUCAACCAUGCUGGGGUGGGCUUUGGUGAUGCAGCUGUCUCUGAAU